Molecule: long non-coding RNA, 676 nt
Organism: Macaca mulatta (Rhesus monkey)
Lineage: Eukaryota; Metazoa; Chordata; Mammalia; Primates; Cercopithecidae
Source: RefSeq, a predicted model, not a curated record
CGUGCUGCCGAAGCGAGGGCGCUUUCUGUUCUUGUCCACGAGCCUUCGGCGCUCAUCGGUGCCUGCUUCCGACCGUGGGUCGCGUUCCUUCCAACGUGCGUCUUCCAUCCCAGCUGGGCGGGGCCUUCACUGCUACCUUCACUGUUACCUUCUCAACAUGGCGAGCUUGGCCGGAUGUCACUUCGCCUUUGCCUUUUCCUCUCAGGACUCGGCUCACCGACCUUCUCAGCAGGGCCGGCCCUGCUCACUACCGCCCCCACCGGUCGUGUCGUGCUUCAUUCCCACAGGCCGCAUAAGACUGUGUGCUCCAUAAGGGUAAAGGCCGUUUGUAUCUUGUUCAUUGUCGUAUCGCCAAUGCCAGCUCAGUGGUGAAAGUGGGGACUGCUUAGUCAUUAGACCCUCAUUCCAGCGGUUCCUCCUCCCUAUACCUAGAGAAAAGGAAUGAAGACCCAGAGAUGCCAAGCACAAUCUGAACAAAUUGGCCUUGCCAAGUUCUCCCCAGGUGAUUCUCAUUAGCUCAUAUUCCCUUUGUCCAACCAUCCUUCUACAGGACUGUCCACUCUUCAUCAAUCCUAAGCAUAAAAAUACAGUUUUCCCUGUUUCUUUGGGCCUUCGUUUCUGAAGGCUCCUGGGUUAUGUAAAACUUUGAUGAAAUAAAUUUGCAUGAUUUUCUUUU